CUCCUUGGCAGAUAAUGCUAAAUGUUUUGUGUAACUAUAGUAACUGGUGAUCCACAGGGCGGAUGGAAAGAUGCCAUCUCAUCGACAUGUUGGCACGGUCCACAAGGGGUCAGGUUGUUUGUGCAAUGGUGGGCGGCCUGGUAGUACUAGGCUGUGUGAAACAACAAUAAAACCAUAAAACUCAGCUGUGAGAACUCGACCAAACCAGCUGGGUCUCUACAGCAGAUUGGAAGCCAAAGUGACGGCGAAACAGAUCAGGAUGCAAGGAAGCAGGAAACUCUCUCCUAGUGACUGGUCACACUCCCAGAUUCUUCUGAUGGAGAUGCCAGAACUGUCUUCCUGCUCGUGUCUCCACCUCCCAGUGAUGUCAGUGUGUUUGGGUUGUUAGUGGUUUUUGUUGCCUUAAGAAUAAAGAAUGGACUGG
RNAcentral lists this long non-coding RNA (424 nucleotides) under Gouania willdenowi (blunt-snouted clingfish). Its description in RNAcentral is "lncRNA (ENSGWIG00000020615.1)". Lineage: Eukaryota; Metazoa; Chordata; Actinopteri; Blenniiformes; Gobiesocidae. The record is from RNAcentral.